This 16638-nucleotide long non-coding RNA is filed under the name Marmota monax (woodchuck). Lineage: Eukaryota; Metazoa; Chordata; Mammalia; Rodentia; Sciuridae. The record is from RNAcentral.
GUUCAAAGGUUCCAGGGAGCUUGUUGGACACUCUCAGGACAGGAUACGGUGGCUUCAGAUGUGACCCAGUCCCUGGAGCCUUGGAAAGGGAAGGGGCGGCUGAAUGUGGUGCUGAACCAAGACAGCCAGCUGUGAUUGGGAGCAUUUCCUGGACCCGGGAAGGGAGAGUAUUCCUACAAGGUAAGCUGGAACAAUCCUACCUGCUCUGUUUUAUGUCUCUAGUGAGGCUGCAGGGGAUUUGGGGGAAGAAGAUGAGACAUGUGUCCAUUCUCAGACUCUUGUAUCAUGUGAAAUUACAUUCAGUUGAGUAGUCAUCUCUGCUGACUUGUGUGGAAAGCAAAGAAAUAAAAAUCAAUUAGAAAGGGGCAGAGACAUCAUGCGAGCAGCAGAAAGAAUUGGAAGGAAACAUUAAUUCCAGUAAGUGCACUAAAACAGAAUUAAAGCCUUUAGAGGUUAAAGACAAAACCAGGAUGUGGGUUUCUUCAUCUUCCAUUCAGAAAUUUCUGUCCCUGCCUGAGUAGAAGGGCUAUUCGCCCAACUGCUGAUGUUAGAGAUUCUCAUUUGGAAGGGAGAAAGAGAAGGGAAUCUUUGCAGACAUUCUAUUAAGUACAGGGGACCAUCCUAAAGAUGGUAAAAUAAGUAGCCUGUAAGGUCGAUGGUGCCAUCCCCAUUUCAUAGGCAGAUUAAACAUUUCUGCGUAGUGAGGUGGCACAGCCUGGGCCACACAGCCAGGAGGUGGUGUGGCUUGGACUUGAAUCCUCAUCAAUCUGUCUCUGUAGCCUGCUCUACAAUGCAGAAUUCUUGUGUGUUGUCAAAACUUUCUUCUCUGGAAUCUCAAGAGUAUCACUCCUGUGUACAGAGGAUUGGCUAGGAACACAGUGCUGAUGAGACUUUGGAGAAACACAGACCUUUCUGAACUUGAGCAUUCCAUUUUGGAGGAAAUCAGUUUUGUUUUUUUAAUAAGGCUUUUUCUUCUGCUGACCCUGAGCCCUGCCUCUGGAUGGUAAAGGAAGACAGGCCUGGAGAGGAGCUCAGUGGUAUUAGUGACUGAGGAUUGACAUUCACUCUGCUAUCCACUGCACUCCUCUGGAGGAAUCUGAGCUCCUGAAACUUAAGGCCAAAUAUUCCUCCAAGACAAAAUGCCAGCAGACUGUCUUUCAACUUUCUCCCCUGUCCAAAAGGGGUUCCUGCGAGGCCAAGGGGCCAGACCUUAUAUUCUCUGAGAUCGUAGCACGGAGCACCCUGGAUUUUUUCAUCUGGGGCUUUAAGAAACUCCGCUCUGUUGAGAGUAAAAAAAUUCUAAUCUAGAUUUAGUGUAGAGCAGGCUCCCACUGAACUUCCUGUGAGCCUUCCUGGAAGGAUCAAGGCUGGGAAAAUGCUGCUUAAUUCUGCAGUGUCUGUAAGGUCCCGUGGGGUGAGCAGGUGGGAAGGGAUAGGAGAGCUUAUUUCUGCUCCCACAUCUGGGGACGGCAGCUCUGCUACCACAGCCUUAAGCAAAUCAAAGGAGACUGCUAUACAUCCUGGUAAUACCGGGGAGUCAGAGAGGUGGCCAAGUGCACUUUUCACUUAAAUUUGGAGGUGCAAGAGGCUGAGCCGAUGUGACAGAGGAAAAGGAACCAUGUCAACUGAGUGGCUCCCCGCCCCCGUCAUCCUCGCCUUGCUUGUUCAUUUUGCUGCUUUUGUGGGAACAGCUUUGGGGACAGAGGCCAGCAACUCUGGGGUCUGGAGAGAGGGGUAACUUGGAGCAAGGGGUGACAAGGUCUCGGGAUGGAUCUGCGGGGGGAGAUUCCCGGAGCUGGACUUUUCUGUCUUGCAAAUUUAGCAGGGACAACGUCACCUCCGCCUCUCUGACACUCGUUGUCCUCUGGGGGCACCUCCAAUCGUUUUAAUUUGGCUUUUCCGUCUUAGUUGAGAGACAGUCACGGGGGACAGGGUGAAUUGCGUUGAUGCAAGCUGGCUUUAGUUUCAGCCCUGAGGGGCUGGGGUUAAAGGCUUUGAAGACGAGCCAGGGUAACUUUGGCGGCUCCUCUCCUCCUGCUCAGAACGCUUCCACUUUCAGUUGUGAAAGAAAAACCAGGAAGUGAAGUCCCCAGCACGUUAGAAAGCCGGCCAUGGCCCCACGCAGAACGGCUCGGGACAGGGCAGACCUGGGGGUGCUCUGAGCCAGGCUGCCUGCCUGCAUGGACGCUCUGAAGCCUCCCUGUCCCUGGAGGAACCAGGGCUGAGGGAACAGGACAGGAGGAAAUUGGACCCAGGAAGCCCCGUUGGCUGGAAGCACUAAGACGUUCAGCCCUUCACAGGGUAAGGGGGACAUCUAGGGGUGUGAUCAGCAAGGGGUCCUGGGAGCAUGUGGCAGGGGCAUCCUGGCCCCCAACUCCAGCAAAGCAGCUUGGGCUCCGGGCUUGCUCUGUCCCACGUGCGUAUCAUGCUCUCUUUAAGCCGUCUGUUUUCAGGAGGGGUGAGGGGAAGGGGAGUCGGGGGCAUGGACGAGACUUCCUCCUGCCCCUCUUUUAGUGGGCCUGAGCAUCGGGCAUGUCUCCCCUGUGGCUGGCUGGGGUCACCCUCAUUUUUCAUCAGCCUUUGACUCCCUCUCAUGGUCAGAGCCGAUGAAUGGGACUACUGAGAUGGAAGAGACUGAUGGCAGUUUCUGAACGAAGUUGGAUUUCUUUUCAGGGGUAGGACCACAGGUUAGACCUAAGAUGAACUGGAAGGAUCUUCAGGGAGUGAGUAUUAGGAAGGGGCUUUGCAGUUAGACCUUAGUUACCCUCUGUGUUUAUCAACCUGAAAACUCCAAAGUGUAGCUGGUUGGUAUUCUAUAAACAGAAGCACAGUGUUAAAAAGGAAAGAAAAUAAAGUAUAACAUAUAAUGAAAAAUAAAAUAAAAUAAUAAAAGGCUAAUUUAGUAUUAACAAAUAAAAGUGAAAUAAUUGAUUUUGCUUGAUCCCUCCCUCUAUAUUCUAGCAUGGAGUCACUCUGUGGUGGGUCCCCUCUCAGUGACAGGUAUUUGAGUAUCACUUCUGGGCUUAGCAUAGUGAAAGGAAUAGUACCUAGAUAGUGGUUGGUAUGUGGUCAGGUGCUGAUGGUAGGGUUGCUAGCAAAAUUCCGAGGAGGCAGGCCCCAGAUAAACAUGCAGAUCAAUUUUUAAAAGGAAAAGGAACAUUAUCCAGAUCAAAUCAAAUGUAUUAGCCAAGCAUUUGGCUAGGUCCUGACCAAAAAGAGUCUUCUCCAAGAUCACAUCAUAAUUUUCCAGGGCAAAGACACCUCCAAUAUCAGCAAAGCAUUUUCUACCUAAAUACUAUACAUGCAGUGGAGUCACAGGUACACAGUAGGUACACAUACAGGCAAUGUUUUGAGAUGGAUUGUUUAGCCAUAUUUAUGGUUAAAAAAGUAAAAUGGUUCAGAGAGAUGAAGCAACUUCCCUAAGGUCACAUACAAGCAAGUUAUCAAACUGUAACAGGCAAACUGAUGCUGAAACAUUGCUCUUUAUCUGCUCACAUACAAGGUUAUCCUUCCUUCAUAUUUCCUAGCAAUUUUAAUUUUUUAAAAAAAUUUUCAUGUGUGGUGGUCUGGACACAUUUAUUCACAUAUUUGUUAAGUGUUUCAAGCUGAUAUUUAUUUUCUAGAACCAUAAAUAUUACAACAACCAUUCAUCCAACAUUUUCUAUGGGCAGCACCAUACUUAGUGUUCUAUAGAGUCUUUAUCUUUUGAUUUUCAAUACUGUCCUGUGAAGUAGAUACUUUAUGUCCUAGGUGAGAAAAAUGGGGCUUAGAAACAGACUCACACUCUGGCUCAAUUGGAGGUGGAAUUUGAACUCUGGCUCAUUUGGAGGUGGAAUUUGAACUCUGGCUCAUUUUGUUCCAAAGAUGAUCUGCACCUUGAUUACUAAUGAGUCUAGUUUCACGCACAGGCUGAAGAAUAAGAAACUGGAAGAAAUAAAUCUUUUGAAAUCUUCUCAUCUUAAUUCUAUAGAGACAGAAAGUAGACUGGGCAGGGAGGGAGGAAUGGAGAAUGGAGAGUGACCGCUUAUUGGUACAGGGUUUCCUUUUGGGGUGAUGAAGAUUCUGUGGAACUAGAUGAGUUGGUGGUUGCCCCGGAGUGUGAAUGUACUAAGUCCACUGAACUGUUCACCUUAAAAUGGUUGAUUUUGUUGUUGUUGUUAUGUAAAUUAGAAAGAAAGAAAGAAAGGAAGGAAGGAAAAAAAUGGAGGGAGGGAGGGAGGGAGGGAGGAAGAAAACAGUCCCCCUUUUGGGCAGGUGAGUUCCCAAACAAGGACUUGGCGAUUUUUUAGAAACCUAGCAUGCAAUGCCUGCCAUGUCUGUCUCAUAGGCCUGGCCGUACCCUGAUCAGCAAGGCUGGCUCCAGCCGCUCAGGCAGCCAUUAGGGUUCUCCAGAUAUUCCACUGCAAAAGCGUCCAGGUCUGUUUCUUCUUUCCGUAACCUCACACCCUGUCAUCAGAAAUGGACUCUCUCAUUUGCUGUUCCCCGUGGCACAGGCCUGGCACUUCCUGGGUUCUUGAUUCCUGAUGGUUGAAUAAAUGAGUUUUGGGAAUUUGGAAGGACAGACAACCCACAUACAGCAGUUACGGGCCACAGUGUCAACCCUCUUUGGCGGAGCUGACCGUGGAUCUCUUGUUCUUCUUGGGUUGAUCUAUUUUAAGAGCCAUGAGGUUUGAGUGGCUUGUGGGAGGAUGCAGGAAAGAGAGGAAGGCGUGGCUCAGAGAUAGGCCAUGGCUCCUCCAAAUAGAAGUGUUCUGUUUAAAUAGAAAUGAGGAGUUGUUUAGACCUUUGCAUGUAAGUGGAGUGAUGACCAUGCUCCUCUCUUAACUUCCAGAACAUCUUCAUAACAGAAUAUCUGAUAUUGACAAGGACUUGACAGUUAAGGUAAAUGGAAGAGGGAAAAGAAAGCUACUCUUUACUGAGGACUAACCACGUGCUUGAUAAUAUACCAGAUACUAUACACACCGUAUCCCCUCUAUGUACCAUUGAGGGACACUGAUGCUCAGUGACAUCAAGUAACUAUCCCCAUGUUCACACACCUGGUAAGUGAUAGAGCUAUUGCUCCGGUAUCUGGAGAGGUGAUGACCUUGACAGUUUGCCUCUGGAAAAGAGAAUAUUUGCACUAAACUCACUGCUUAUACUUUGAGUAGUGAUUCUUGACCAUUGGUCUGGCACAACUAGCAUUUGGACUGAUUCUGUAGAGAAUCGAGGGCGAAAGGCCUCUUUUAUAACCUCUUGCCUCAUUCAGUCUUUACCCUGGCAGAGCUGACGGGGACCUAGCACUUUGUCCAGCCUAUCUUUUUACAGACCCUCUUAUCAAAUUCAGGGGACCUGUGAUACUGGAUCUCCUUACCUUGGAUCUCUCAUCAUCUGCUUGGUCAGCAAGAGGUCUGAGAUGCCCUUUGGGGGUGUUCAACUGGACAAGGUUUUCCUCAGGGUGGGGCUGUUGGACUGUGGUUGGUUUGAAGUACAGUGGUGGAUCAAGGUAGGUUGUGUCAAACUGAAAGCCAGAGGGACUUGUCACUUCCUGUCAUCACCCCAUGGGUGGCUCCACCCCUAUGCUAAUGGCCUGAGUGGAGAGACCCUGGGUAUUUGACUUAACCAGGGAUGAAUUAGUAAAUAUCACUCAGCUCAAUUGGCCAACACUUGGCUCCCUCGAGUGUCUUGGUGUUUGCAAUUCAAACUGACUCCAGGGUACAAUGACCUCACCAGGCCUCAGAUACUGUCUCAUUCAUUCAUCCUUCUUGGGGGCUUCUCCUUUUUUUCUUUAUCCCUUUCAACUAAAGACAGACCCUCCACCUCCAUUAGAAAUAACUCUUCACCAAAUUUCCCAUGUUUCCUCCAUUCAUGCCUCUAGCCACAUCUGAGUGCUUCCCUUCCUGUCCACCUUGGUUCAACCAACUGAAUGGGAUGACUGGUCUCUCCACAAAGGUGGAUAAGACACAGACUACAGUUGGGAAAAUGAUUUGGUGAUAGUGACACUGGUUGACAUGGGUGUGAUCAUCAUCUUUGAUUGCGCCUGGAAAAGAGCCCGUUGGCUAUAAAGCCAGGAGGUUGGGGACCACUCAUCCUUGAGGUUCUAGCAUCCCAUACAGCUAUCUUAAUCUACUCCCGCCUACAUUAACCUCUCCCUUCUUCAAACGUAUAAGAUCAUCCCACACACUGAUCCAUCCUGGAAGUAUAUUUCCUGUUAAGAUAGAUCCAGAAGCCCCCAGAGUCAGGAGCUGUAUAUUCUGUCUGUCCCUCAACACGUGGCACAGUGCUGAACAGAUAAGUGCAAGAUAUUUGUUUGCCUUGUUGCAUAAGUACAUUGAAAGGGCAGAAGGUACAUAUGCCUCGUCACACACAUAUUUCUCAAGUCUACCGAGGGCUGCACAAACUGAGCACCAUCCCACAGAGCACUCAUCUCCAAAUAUUGUGACUGCCUGGGAAUUGACAUUAUCUCCUGUGAGACUAGGGACUCCAAGUGUGCUUUCUCUAAGCUGCGCAUGCUGCCUGGCACGUAGUAGGUGCUCUCAUGCCCAAGUGCAUGCAUUGUGAGUGACCUCACUUAGGUGGAGCAGCUUAGUGUAGACCCUACUGGUGUGAAGCCCCUGUCUGUGGCAUUCCUGAGGGAGAUUCAGCUGUGUCUCCCUCUGAGACACAUUGUGUUCCUUGUGGGAUUGAGUUCUGCGACCAGUUUCCUCUAAUGCGCUCCCCUCCCUAGUUGCCUUUCUCUGAACUUUUGCCAGUGGUAAGCAAAAGGAGGAGGUGACGCAGUGACCAUGGGUUCCCACUGUACCUUGGGCUUUAGGCUAGGUGACUUGGAAUCCAGAAGCUAGGACACCCUCCCUGCUCAAGUGUUCACAGCACAGGGAGGCCUGUUGUCACAGAGAUGUCCACAGAAUCACAGGAUGCCUCGAUGAGAUCCAAACCCGAGGAAGAUCUCAUCCGGCUUCAUUUUUCACAACCCUCCUGUGCUCUAGUUCCUGUCGCUUUUCCUGUGCAACUCAGCAAUAGAGAGAUCUCCCAUGGCUGUGCUUGAGUUCCUGAAUGAUUCAUUAUGGAGUGUCCGCUUGCAGCCAGGGAACCAUCCCAAACUUAAAUCUCACCCCUUCUCUGCCACUGUCUUACAAAUUGGAGCUGUUGGGCUCAGCCUAGCAAUUGGGCUAGAAGAGAGAGAUGCGGGAGGUUAAUCACUUAGCUUUUCAAUUUUCCUUUUAAUUAUUUAAACAAUCAGAGUGAAUUUCUCCAUGGUAUGGAAAUUACUGCUCAGCUACCCGCUAGGGUUUUAACAGGGCUCCCUUUGGUAUUGCUGUCUUCCUGCUCUGCCUGCAAGUGGAGUCUUUGUAGAAAUGACAAGGAGGCCAUUAUCCCAUCUGCCUGGGGACAUGCUUGUCCCACAGGAUGUGUGUGCUUCAGAGAAGGCUGGGAACCAGGGCCCUGGGUGAAGAGAGCAAACCUGUGCCUCAUCACCUGAUUAACAUGUGGUGGUGGCCUAAGUGCCCAGGCACUGGUGAGUGGUUGGGAAGGUACAAUCUAUAGGUUCAAAGGUCAGGUUCAAACACCAGCUUCUGUUCUCAGCUACUUGGAGGUAAUGUCGAAAGAUGCAUGUUCAGGGCCCCUUUGACCCUAUGACUCAAGCUUCACCUUUGCUCUGGUUCCUUAUCUGUUAGAAAAAUGAAUGAAAAAGCUUUCCACCCCCAGAGCUGCUGUUCAGGCUGGAUUGCUGCAGCUGGGAUGUAUUUUACACAAUAGCUUGAGCACUUGGAAAGGUUGUAUGUGGACUGUGGUUUGGGUCAUGGUUCACAUCAAAUGCACCAACCCAGGUGGUAGAACUUUCUAAGUGAUCUGUCUGAGUCAGAGGUAAGAUAAUAUGGAGUUGAAUUUAUUAUGGGUUGGUAAACAAAACACAUUUCAGAUUAAACAAGAAUUAAUAUCAAGAGUUACUUUGAUACUAUCAAGAGUUACUUUUGCUAAUAAGACCUUAUCGUAACUCCCUAAUGAAAGCUCACCUACCUGCUAUGUCUCCAGUCCUUACUCUGCCUUAUUGCUGCUGUCCCAUAAUUCUCAAACAAUAGAAUUGGGGUCCAAGCUUGGUUGUCAAUCUUCUCCGUAGAAGAUAAUCCCAUGUGGGCUGGCUUUUUACUGCUGUAUUUUAGGCUCCAGGAAUGAUGCCUGAUACACAGUCAAGCUCUUUUAUAUCUUUUGAUCGAAGACUCCAAACAUUCUGGAAAAUACAUUCCUGAUUUCUCUUCUUCCUUUUUUCUUUUCCUAUGAGGAUUAUCCUUUCAGAAACACAAAUGCAUUCAUGAUUCAUCACAAUUGAGAGCAUAACUGUAUACAGUUGUCCACAUAUUUUUCCUUCCUACUUGGCAAUAGAUCCUGGAGCUCUUCUUCUAUCAGUACAUAUAAAUCAAUUUGCCUGCCAAGACUUCCAUUAUGUAGAAGGGUUAUAAUUUAUUUGGUUUCCCACCUACAGGCAGGCUUUCCUAGGCUCUUGCAAUUCCCAAUAAUCCUAUAGCUUUAAUGAUGACAAGUGUCAUAGCUAAGACCUGAGACCAGCUGAUAUGUGUAGUUCUAAGCACUUCACACAUACACGCAUUCCUUAAGUCAUAGUGAUGGCUUUAUGAGGAAGAUUUUAUUAUGGCCAUUUUGCAGAUGAGAAACCACAGAGGUUAGGAUAUUUACCACUGGUUAUGAGUCAGAUGGUCAAGAAGGGUUUGAGCCCAACUACUCUGACUCAAGAGCCUACAUCCUUAACAAUACUUUAUAUAUGGCACAUGAUGCAUUUUACAGAGCUGAUGUCUUUCUACAGGAUGAAUUGAUGGUAGAAUCAUUAUGUUGUAGGGCAUGCAUUCUUAAUUGUGGUAGAGGCCAAUGGGUACAUCUCUAAGUGGCUGCACCACAUUUAUUAUUCCACAGUUAACAUUGCACUGUUUCAUCUUUGCUAAUCUAAUAGAUAGGGUAAAGGCAUUUCAUUGAAAUUUGCAUUUUUAAAAACUGUAAGCAAACUUGAAUGUCUUUCCCUAAUUUUAAGUAGCUGUUUUUUUUUUACUUUCUGUUGAUACCUUCUGCCUCUGUUUUAUUGGAUUAUAUUUUGUUUAAAUUGACAUCUAAGCAGUCCUUAUUAAGGAAAUUAGCUUUUUUGCCUUUCUGGAACAUUUGAUAUUUUUCCCAGUUCAUCUUUUGACCUUAUAUCUGGAAUCUUUUUUGCAAGGCAAAUAUUUUUAAAAACUCUUUGGUAAUUAAACUCGCCAACAUUUCCACUUCUAGAGUUUAGCUUUUAUGUCUGUCUUGAAUCUUCCCAUACCAACAUUAUGAAAAAAAAACUUUUUUCUCUGUUUUUUUUUUGACCCCAAAUAUUUUUACAGUUUUUGUUGUUUUAUAUUUAAGUCUUUGAUCCAUCUCCCGCUUACGUUUGUUGCAGAAGACCAAAAAAAAAAUUUUAUUUAUUUUCUCUCUGAAUGAUUGGCCAGUUGUCUCAAUACAUUUAUUGUAAGGGAUUUUUUUUAAUUCAAAAUGUAAUUUGGUAUAUGGUAAUAGUAUCUACUAGGUGUACUUCAGGAUUAUCUUGCUAAAUAGAUUUGUCUAUUCAUGACCAAUAGAAGUUUUUAUAUCUCUAUAAUAAAUAUGCACAUCAGGUGAUGUUUGCUCAUUUGCUACCUUCCAAUUUCUAUUAUUUAUUUUGACUCUCUUUGUUUCAUUUUUCUUGGUGAAUAUCAGACUUAAUUUUUUUGUUGUUCCCAAGAAAAUCCUAUUGGUGUUAAUAAGAGUUACAUCAAGUGUAUGGGAGAUGGGAUGUGACUAUUUCACGUAUAUCCUUCCAUUUUUCAAGCAUUGUCAUAGUUGCUUCAGACCUCAAGGUUUUUUUUAAUAUAGAUUUUAUACAUUUGUUCUUAUAUACACUGAUACGAACAGCAUAUUUUCCAAUGAGUGAUUUGUAUGAAAUAGAGAAAAGCUAUUGACUUCCUGAGUGCUAGUUUCAGCACCUGGCCACCUUAUUGAAUUAUCUCAGUCAUUAUACAAACAACAUUAAUUGCACCUUAUUUCCUUCUGGGGUUUUAUCGGUUGCUUUGUUGUUAUUUGAUUUUACAUUUGAAGUGGAAUAUGUGCCCACAGAUUUUCAUCUCAGCUCUGACUGAACGUUGAGCUGUUUUCGAUUUUUGAAUGCUUUUAAAUAGCCUAGGUAUCUCUGAUUCUCUUUCUUCGGGAAUAAGAAAGAAAUUUUGAGCAGGCUUUCUCUGACUUCAUUUUGUGAAAAAUGAUUACUGUCUGAAAUCAUGUUAUCUUUUAUUUUAUCUUUUAUUUCCCUGGUAGAAGAUAACUACUUGUGAUAUAGGAAAGUAAGCUGGUGUUAAGAAAUGUUUUUUUAAAAAGCCCUUGGCCCCCAGGCUCUGAGGAAACUGGGUGAAGGAUCUUGCAACAGAACACAUGCCUGGCUCACCUUCAUUGCCCAUGAAGGACAAGGUUAUCAGGUCCUUCCAGGUAUGCUUGGGAUGCUAUUGGCCUGCAACUUCCUGUUGACAUUUUGCCAUCCCUUUGUCCAGAAAUAUGGACUAUGUGGCUGAUGAUUGAGAUAGAAGACUAAGUUGAUGGUGGCAGGAUUUUAAGGAAAAUAACAAUGGAGGUUGGGUUAGACAUGGAAGGCCCAGCCAAGAGAACCAAACUUUCAUAAGCAGCCUCCUAACACCUAGUGUGGAACAAUGCGUGAAUCACUAGGUAUGAAAAUUUAGGGACUCUGGUCUCCCUUUUAAUGAGGUUUCUGUCACCACAGGAUGAGCUCACACAUACAUGAAAGUAAAGAAACCAAUUAAAUCCAAUGAGCUUGUGCCACUUUCUAGAAGGCAGUUGUUUUUUUUUUAAAUGCUUAUAAUUAUAAUUUAUCCUUAUUGCACAGAAAAUAAUUAGCUCUCCAGACCUAAAACAAAGAUAAUUUGCCUUGUUGUCUGUAGAAUUCCAGAAACUCAGGAAUGGUUUAUUUCUUGGCUAGAACUUUCUGCCCAUUUAAUAAUGCAGAUAACUUCAUUCUGGUUCUUCCAAGUCUGAAGAGGAAGUUUCAUCCUGAGUGGUCUUUGAUGUGUAUUAGAAACACAUUCUUUUCAGCAUCUACUAAUCAUAAAUCAAUAAAUACCUUUCCAAAUAUUGAUUUGGGAGGACCCAUCUCAGGAUUGGCCAGAGUAACUUUUUUUUUUUUUUUUUUUUUUUGGUGUAUGGAAUCAAACCCAGGUUGCAUGUGCUCUACCACUGAGUCCCAGAGUGACUUUUGAUGGUCUAAGAUUUUGGAGUUUGCAGGUGAGGUAAAAUGUGUUAAACUCAAGUAUUUUAGAAUGGACAAGUCUACACAGGUGCAGAGGCAUGCACCUGUGAUUCCAGCAACUGGGGAGGCUGAGGCAGGAGGAUUCUAAGUUUGAGAUUUUAGCCUGGGAAACAUAGAGACCCUGUUUCGGGAUGGGGGGUGGGACUUAAAAAACGUGGGACUGGGUUUGUGGCUCUAUGGUAAAGUGCCCCUGGGGGUUUAAUCCACAAUACCACAUAAAAGUGUGUGUGGGGGGGUGAGUCCAAUCUAGAAUAUUUAUUAUACAAUCACUUAUUAACAGUUUAUUACAUGGCAGGCAUGGCUUAGGCACGUAAACAAAACAAACAAUUAGAAUAUCAGUUCAGUAGGGAUGAUGGAUGAUAAGGAGAACAGGACUAUUUCAGUGAAUGAUGUCAUGGAGGAGAGAAAGCCAGGUCUGUGAUAGGCGUAGAAGAGGAAAGGGCAGCAUUGAUAGGGUGAGCAGAGAGCAAACCUCUGAGGAAGUGAGGUUUCAGGUGAGACCUCGCCCUAUAAGAAUGCACGACCAUAUCAGAUCUGGGGAACAGUAUUCCAGGCAAAGAGAUGGGAAAAUACACAGACUCUGAGGUGAGUCUCUGAGUAGAAUAUCUAUAGCAAAAAUACCAUCUAUUUUUUUUAUGGCUGAGUCAAAUCUAUUAUGUUUAUAUACCACAUAUUCUUUAUCUAUUCAUCUGUUGAUAGGCCCCUGGGCUGGUUCCAUAACUUAGCUUUUGUGACUUACACUGCUAGUUAUAUAUAAUAGUGGGGUUCAGUUUUGCAUAAUCAUACAUGCAUGGAAUAUAAUGUGCUCCAUUACAGUCCCCAGUACUUCCUCUUUCCCUCUUCCUCUUCCUGGUGCCCUCUCCCUCCCCCUUCCCCUGACACCCUUCCUCUAUCUUACUUGGGUUCCUUCUGUUUACCCUGUUUUUAAAAUUGAUGUUCUAUAGUUAUACAGAAAGAAGGAAUUCACCACGGUGUAUUCAUAUAUGUACAUGGCAAAAUUUGGUAAAUUUCAUUCCACAGUUUCUCCCUUUUCCCUCCCUCCUCCUCCCCAUCAAUUAGCAUGAUGGUCUCUAGUUCCAUCUAUUUGCCAGCAAAUGCCAUCAUUUCAUUCUUCUUUAUGGCUGAGUCAAGUCUAUUAUGUUUAUAUACCACAUAUUCUUUAUCUAUUCAUCUGUUGACAGGCCCCUGGGCUGGUUCCAUAACUUAGCUUUUGUGACUUGCACUGCUACAAACACUGGUAUGCAUGUAUCACGGUAGUAUGCUGACUUUAGUUCUUGUGGAUAAAUACCCAAGGAUCGUACCAUCUUUUAAAAGGACUGAGUUACCAAAAGAAAUUCAUUUUUAGCCUAUAGGGAUAGUCUGAAUAAUUCAUAGCAAUAAACAGAGUUGGCCAAAAACUUGAAUGGAAGAAUGGAAAGCACCAUUGAGGGAUUUUGUUCAAAGAAAAUGAAAUUUAAUGAAGAAAAUGCUUCCCUGAACUCACAAAGGAGCAAAAUCCAAAGCUGAAUAGGGGAUGGUCAAAAUCUAGGUGGCAAGACUGAUCUCGGUAGCUUGUGGGGAGGUGUGGAGGUGGAAGGUGUCCUUCGACUGGCUUGGAAAUAAAACAUGCUAGGAGCCAGGAAAUGAGUCACUCUGGCUAUGGCCAUCCAUGCCCCCGAGAAGGCCCUGAUGAUGAACCUCCUGAGCUGCGGGGGCAAAGGCAUGUUGCUACCAACACAUCAAAAAGCUUUGCAUUUGGGGUCAUCCUAAUGUGCAUCAAGUUCACUCAGCCAUGUACGGAGACCGGGAUGGGAGCUCCCAGACACAGCAUAACAGAACUCUUUCCUCUUUUCUUUCCCACCAUCACAUUUCUCUUCCCCAUUUUUCCCCCCAAUGAAGCGUAACAAUAAAGGGAAGAGGAAAUGCCAUCAUACCAACUUCUGAUAGAGAUUCUGUGGAGCCCAAGAACCAGAAUUGUAAUCUGAGUCACACAGGACACAUGACAAGAGGGGCAUGGCUUUCCCGCCUCAUUUAUUUAAGCAAAUCUGGAAAUGUUCCCAGAUUCUGAAGGUUAGAAUGGUAUCAGGGUGUCCCCAUCCAGCAAUGUUGUGACCUGUGGGUCCCACCUGCCCUCAUGCCUUUACUUUCUCCCAUUUAAAGAGUGACAGAGUCACAUGAAGUGGUUGAAAAUCCUUUCUAGGGGCUGGGGUUGGGGCUCAAUGGUAGAGCACUUGCCUAGCAUGUGUGAGGCACUGGGUUCGAUUCUUAGCACUGCAUAUAAAAUAAAAUAAAGGUCCAACAAAAUAAAGGUCCAAAAACUAAAAAAAUAAAAAUAAAAAUAAUUAAAAAAAGAAAGAAAAUCCUCUCUAGUGCUAGUGUCAUAAGGUUAAAAAUGUGGGACAUUCAAAAUAGGGAAAAGACAACCAAAGAAUGGGAAAAAAAAAACAUUGCAAUAUUCUGAUAAGGUUCUAGUAUCUGGAGUAUAGAAAGGAAUCUCACAAAUCACAACAAAAAGACAACCCUCUUUUAAAGAAGCCAAAGAAUUCAAAUAGACAUUUCUUCAAAGAACAGAUACAUCACAAGUGUAGUAAAAUACUUCCAAAUUCAAUACUUUACACUGGUUAAUUCUAGUAUAAUUCUAGUACAUGGAUUUUUAUUUCACUUUUUUAAAAAUGUUCAUCUUCUCCUCAAAUUGGAUAACUGGUCAGCAAUAGGAAACUGAGUAAGCUAUCACAGUCGUGAAAUAAAUACAGCCUUCAAGAUCUUCUACAAAUAAAAUCCCUUGUAGAUGUAGGCAAGUCCUUUCAUUCUCAUGAAACUGGGGUCUUGAAACUUGUAAAUCUCUCCUUCCUUCGUAAUGCAGUGGUCGGUCUCGCUCUCUCUGUGGACAAUAGGACCCAAAUCUGUGUAAAAGGAAGAGUCAAGAAUUGACAGAACAUGGUCCAAAUUAAACAGGGAGAUAUGUUCUUAUUUAUCUCCCAACUUUUAAAACUUGCCACUAGUUAAAAUUGAGGUUUUACAAUAUUCAGUCCUCUGGGUUAUCUAGGGAAAAAAAAAAAAAAAAAAAACUGACAAUGUGGUGACCCUGGCCCACAUGACUAUGUGGUAACAAUCAGCUGAGAUUGACAGCAGGUGCCCCCUUGAGACCAGUCAAGGAUUCUCUGUCCUUUUUAUCCCACUGGGUUACCUGCCAGGUUAUUAGCCCUUCCUCCUCCCCUCUUACCGCCCCCCUUCACCACUAAUGAAGAGAAGCUUCACCUUUAGAAGCUACUCUGAAGAUCUUAUGAAGUCCCCCCCAUUAAAAUGUUAACUUUGCCAUCUGGAGGAAAGGGCAGAAGUCCAUGGUGCCACAACUUGUUCCCAUAGUGGAGAAGAGGGGUACAGGUAAGGAUCCCUUAAUUUGCAGGUGGGACAGAGGCCGAGGGGAAAAGCCCAGAUGAUAAGAUCUCGCCAGGCUGGUGGCAGUGUCCCAGCCUGUGGGGAGGGAUGGGGGGCCGAGUACAAAGCAGACUUCUUCUCUCCUUUGGCACUCCCUCUUACUCUGUCACAAUUUACACUGGGGCUGUCCCCCUUCCCAGGUUGGAGUGGCCGGCCUAAAAAUGGUGUCCUGUACGCUGUCUCCUGAAUGCUUUGCCUCCUAGAGUGCCACUCCACCCUACAAGUCCAGGUACCACAAGAACUCCCAGCUGUCCUAUUCCUGCCCAGUGAUCACAAUAGUGCCCUUGUUAUGUAACCCAGCACCCGGGGUCCUUGCUUUUGUUUUGCCCUCUUUUUCUUCCCCCAAAUGCAAUGUGGAAGGAAACAAGGAGGUGGGGAUUAUCAUUCCAGUCUCUGGGAGUUUAGGUGUCCUUUACAAAAUGGAAAGGGACUACCCCCAAGUCAGGAAAUAACCAAUAAGGGGCAGAAAAAUUCCUGCCCCACAAAAUUUGUAGACCUAAUAAGGCUUUUCUUAGAUUAGAGUGAAGUGUUUCCCUUUACGGAGAAGUUUCCAGAUGCCAGCUAGUGGCCGCUUUCCCAAAGCUCUAAGGGCAGUUAUGAUCUUGAUCUGAUAAAACUUUUUACUGGGCUUGUUUUGCUCUUCUGAUUUUUGAGUAGGAAUGUUUGGCCUCUUCUCUGAAAUAUUGUUCCACCAAGCGUUGUCGUGAACUUGAAGAAUGCAAGUGGUGAACUUCAUUUGCUGUCAUCUGUAAGGUGCCAAAUUCAGACUCCUUGAACACUGGGAUUAGAAUCUAUCUGAACAAUUAGUUGUAAUCUUACAGAUUUUACUAGAGAAGCCACAAUGGGAAAUAGUGUGUGGAUUUGGACAAGUCACUUUAUCCUUUGGGAGCUUCCAUUUUUCUCUUCUGUGAAAUAAAACUUCACAGCAUUGGCUGAAUUAAAUGAACUGAACCAUGCAAAAGCCCCAGCCCAGUCCCUGGGCACGGUCAGUGCUCAUUUGCUGUUAUGCUUAUCCUAACCAAGACUGAAAGUAAUGAGACAACAGCAGGGGUAUAUUCCUAGGACGUGCCCCAAAGUUAGUUCCUCCUAUUGGAAUGGUUUGAAGCUGAAUGUGGCUGGGAACUACAAGUUGGGUUGGGGAAGCUUCUGUGGAUUUAGUUCCUUGAGAUCUUUUCCUGUUCUAAAUCUUCAGGGCUUGCCCUGUGUUGAGUCCACUUGCCAGCACCCUUUCUGAGUACUGGCUAACGUUUGCCUCGUGGAAAGCUGAUUCCUUGGGGCUCCCCAGGGCAGAGGAUAUUGAACACAGAAAAUUGUAAUGCUGUUGAUCUCAGAGAACCUCUUGACGCUCAAAAAGAGAAAGCAAUAUGCAAGGCAUAUCUGGCAAACAGGAAACGUCCGUAGUGCAAAAUGAUUUAUUUCUAAAACCUAUGACGUCACCUCUCCGGAGCUCUGCUCUUCUGUUUGGUUUAUACCGGGGAAAUCCAAUGGGAAGAGUCCUCCUGACCCUCUAUCGGGCUGGGCUGGGAAGGCUGCCUGGUGCACCCUUCUCUACCAGCUUAUGUUGGGUCCAGAAGGCCUUCUCUGGACUCUGUGGGCCAAAAGUAAAAGGGCAGUCAUUUCUCAAAAUUGCCUGGGAAAUGAUUAACUGGUUUCCUUUGAUCCCUUCUGCCUUGUGCCAGGACAGUCAAGUGGCCCGGGGUGGAGAACACACUCUAUUCUUUCCAACAUUACUAAGGUAAAUAUUGGAAGCAAAGCCACUCGAGAGAUCUAGCUCUAUUUGGAGAAUUUGAGUGUGUGUGUGUGUGUGUGUGCGUGUGUGCGUGUGUAUGUGUGUGAAACUUCUGUAAACAGAAGUAUUGAGUAAAAAAAUAUACUGCCACUUCCUCUAACUUUUUCUUUCUCGCUAUUUUUUUUUUAAGGUCUGA